CCUACGGGGGGCUGCAGUGGGGAAUAUUGCGCAAUGGGCGAAAGCCUGACGCAGCGACGCCGCGUGAGGGAUGAAGGUCUUCGGAUCGUUAACCUCUGUCAGUAGGGAAGAACGGUCACUGUGCUAAUCAGCAGUGAAUUGACGGUACCUGCAAAGGAAGCACCGGCUAACUCCGUGCCAGCAGCCGCGGUAAUACGGAGGGUGCGAGCGUUAAUCGGAAUUACUGGGCGUAAAGCGCUCGUAGGCGGUAUGUCAAGUCAAGGGUGAAAUCCCCGCGCUCAACGUGGGAACUGCCUUUGAAACUGGAAAACUGGAGUGUGUGAGAGGAUAGUGGAAUUCCAGGUGUAGGAGUGAAAUCCGUAGAGAUCUGGAGGAACAUCAGUGGCGAAGGCGACUAUCUGGCACAUAACUGACGCUGAGGAGCGAAAGCGUGGGUAGCAAACAGGAUUAGAUACCCGGGUAGUC
This 465-nucleotide ribosomal RNA is filed under the name uncultured bacterium. RNAcentral describes it as "partial 16S ribosomal RNA". It matches the Rfam family "Bacterial small subunit ribosomal RNA", at positions 338 to 795 of the family's 1533-position model. The record is from RNAcentral.